RNAcentral lists this long non-coding RNA (929 nucleotides) under Marmota monax (woodchuck). The record is from RNAcentral. Lineage: Eukaryota; Metazoa; Chordata; Mammalia; Rodentia; Sciuridae.
AAAACGAAAGACUAAGAAAAAAAUGUAAGUAAACUAUUACAUUUUAAAACAGAAAUUGUAUUAGGUCUACAUAUCUACUUCUUUGUAAUUUAGAUGAAAUAUUUACUAUUUAAAUGAAAAUUAGGUCACAAUUUCAACUUCACUUUCUGUCCUGAAGAAAUUAUUUCUAUCAUCUAAGAUAUUUCCAAAUUACCCUUGAUAAACAAGAAAAACAUCCUUUUAUUUUUCCCCAAAUUCAAGUUCCACCCCAUAAUUUCCAAAUACCCAGGCUUCAAUUAUAACAGCUGUCUGAAAUAUAGCAACAGUGUAUUUCUUUUUUCCUCAUUUAUUUUCUAUAUUUUUAUUGUUGCAUUGUAGUUGUGCAUAAUGGUGGGAUUUGUUGUUGCGUAUUCAUACAGGCACAGAAUAUAACAACAUAAUUCAGCCAAUAUCAUUUCCCAGUAUUUCCCAUUUCCCUCCCCUCCUUCCCUGCUUUACCUGGUCCCCUUCUUCUACUGAUCUCGCUCAAUUCUUGUGACAAUGUAUUUCAAUGAAGGUAUUUCCCACUUUAUCAAAAGAAAAUAAGAUUCCACCCAGAAAUUAUGUUUAAGUUAUCAUUUCAACUGUUCUAUUUGAUUUUUUUUAAUCCCACCCUGUUUGCUGUGAUCAAAGUCAUCACAACCUGCUGAUCUGACCAAAGCUGAAUAUUAAUCUGAGCAAUGUAGUUUAUCUUCCACCCACUGUGACAAUGUGGUUGAAGAGUUUUUAUUAUUUUUGCUGUUUCAACCUGAAACAGAUUUUUGAUGGCAUACUAAAUAGUAAAAGCAGCUUUUCAGAAUCAAAUAAUAAAAACAAACUUUCAGAAUCAAGACCCAGGUUGCAGAAUCACAUUGUUAUAUAGUCACGUAUGUGAUACUGCAACCUGUACACCUAGAAAAAUGAGAAAUUAU